AGCGAACGUUUGCGGCGGGCCUAACACAUGCAAGUCGAACGGGCAGGGCAACCUGUCAGUGGCGCACGGGUGCGUAACACGUGGGUAAUCAACCCUCCAGACUGGGACAACCCGGGGAAACUCGGGCUAAUACCGGAUGUGACGCGCGGGUCCUCGGACCUGCGCGUGAAAGCCUCGCAAGGGGCCCUGGAGGACGACCCCGGGGCCCAUCAGCUCGUUGGUGAGGUAACGGCUCACCAAGGCGAAGGCGGGUAGCUGGUCUGAGAGGAUGAUCAGCCACACUGGAACUGAGACACGGUCCAGACUCCUACGGGAGGCAGCAGUGGGGAAUAUUGCGCAAUGGGCGGAAGCCUGACGCAGCCACGCCGCGUGUGCGAUGAAGGUCUUCGGAUCGUAAAGCACUGUGGGGGGAGAAGAACCAAGCCGGUGAAGAGCCGGCCCUGACGGUAUCCCCUUAGCAAGCACCGGCUAACUCCGUGCCAGCAGCCGCAGUAA
Molecule: ribosomal RNA, 495 nt
Filed under: uncultured bacterium
Lineage: Bacteria
Description: partial 16S ribosomal RNA
Rfam family: Bacterial small subunit ribosomal RNA
Source: RNAcentral